GACGUAGGGCGCGAGCGUUGUCCGGAUUUAUUGGGCGUAAAGAGCUCGUAGGCGGUUUGUCACGUCGGCCGUGAAAACUCGGGGCUCAACCCCGAGCCUGCGGUCGAUACGGGCAGACUAGAGUGCUGUAGGGGAGACUGGAAUUCCUGGUGUAGCGGUGGAAUGCGCAGAUAUCAGGAGGAACACCGGUGGCGAAGGCGGGUCUCUGGGCCGAUACUGACGCUGAGGAGCGAAAGCGUGGGGAGCGAACAGG
RNAcentral lists this ribosomal RNA (253 nucleotides) under uncultured bacterium. RNAcentral's name for it is "partial 16S ribosomal RNA". It matches the Rfam family "Bacterial small subunit ribosomal RNA", at positions 524 to 776 of the family's 1533-position model. The record is from RNAcentral.